GGGGUUGUGGCUCAGCGGUAGAGCGUUUGCCUUGCCCAUGCAAGACCCUGGGUUUGAUCCUCAGCACCACA
This 71-nucleotide transfer RNA is filed under the name Marmota monax (woodchuck). RNAcentral describes it as "tRNA.Undet". The record is from RNAcentral. Lineage: Eukaryota; Metazoa; Chordata; Mammalia; Rodentia; Sciuridae.